RNAcentral lists this non-coding RNA (428 nucleotides) under Pongo abelii (Sumatran orangutan). Lineage: Eukaryota; Metazoa; Chordata; Mammalia; Primates; Hominidae. The record is from RNAcentral.
AUCCUCAUGUAGGAUGCCCAACAUCUGGAUGCACCCAGCAUGACUACUGGUGCUGAGCAGCCACCCACGGAGGGCAUAUGCACGAAGACAUUAAAGGUAAAAGAAAUGGCCUGUGCUGAGCAACAGAGAAAGCUGUAUCAGAGAUAAAACCAAACAGAUGAAUUACCUCACAGGAUUGCUGGUCAAAGACACUCGGAGAGACUCCAAGCAUGUGACAAGUCUCUCAUCUGCAGACCCCAUUUUCAGCUCAUGAAUGAAUUCCUGUGAUUCACCAUCCAAUGGCAGGAAAUGAAUUGCGUAAGUUCAAAAGAAGAUCAGGUGAAGUGGUAGGAAAUCAGGUGUUUCUCACGUUUUUUGUUUUUAUUAAUUUACUAUAAUGUUAUUCAAGAAAACAUUCUCAAUAAAGCAAAACAAAUUAGCACUGUAAA